AUGUCAAUCAAAAACCUGUCAAAAAACGUCAAUCAGUCCGUGUGUCCAUCCAGGUGUGUCCGUGGCUCUGUCCAGGUCUGUCCGUGUGUCCGUCCGGGGCUGUCGCUGUCCUGGGGGGGUCUGUCCAUGGGUCUGGCCCUGCUGGACAUCUGUCCGUGUGUCUGUGCUGUGUGUCCGUGUGUCUGUGUGUCCAUCCGUCCGUGUGUCCAUCUGUCCGUGUGUCUGCGCCGUGUGUCUGUGUGUCUAUCUGUCCAUGUGUCCAUGUGUCCAUCCCAUCUGUCCGUGUGUCCGUGUGUCUGUGUGUCCAUCUGUCCGUGUGUCCAUGUGUCCAUCCCAUCUGUCCGUGUGUCUGUUCCGACCGUCUGUCUGUCCAUCCCGUGUGUCCGUGUGUCCGCCCUGUGUCCAUCUGUCCACGUGUCUGUGCCCAUGUGUCCGUGUGUCCGUCCCGUGUCCGUGUGUCCGUACCGCGUCCAUCUAUCCGUGCGUCUGCGCCGUGUGUCUGUGUGUCCGUGUGUCCAUCUGUCCGUGUGUCCGUCCUGUCUGUCCAUCCCGUGUGUCCGUGUGUCCGCCCUGUGUCCAUCUGUCCACGCGUCUGUGCUGUGUGCCCGUGUGUCCGUGUGUCCGUCACAUGUCCGUGUGUCCGUGCUGUGUGUCCGUGUGUCCGUCACAGGUCUGUGUGUCUGUCACGUGUCCGUGUGUCCGUGUGUCCAUCGGUUCGUGUGUCUGUCUGUCCAUCCCGUGUCCGUCUGUCCAUCCGUCAUUUCCAGAAGAGCACGUUCCAGAGCAGCAGCCAGCAGGGGUGGGCGCCCAGGGUGAGGAGGGGGCUCAGGUGGGUUCAGGUGGGCUCAGGUGGG
This 854-nucleotide long non-coding RNA is filed under the name Parus major (Great Tit). Its description in RNAcentral is "lncRNA (ENSPMJG00000002033.1)". Lineage: Eukaryota; Metazoa; Chordata; Aves; Passeriformes; Paridae. The record is from RNAcentral.